RNAcentral lists this long non-coding RNA (539 nucleotides) under Salvator merianae (Argentine black and white tegu). RNAcentral's name for it is "lncRNA (ENSSMRG00000000407.1)". The record is from RNAcentral. Lineage: Eukaryota; Metazoa; Chordata; Lepidosauria; Squamata; Teiidae.
GAGGAAGGUGCCCCCAGGCUCCUAGGCUGUACUUUACAACACACCGAAUUUACGAGCGCUCCUCGUAGCAAGGUUCAAGGGGGGACAAGCCGAGGCAGCCCCGGGCGGGCUCCUCUCCAAAGCAAAAGCGGGCGGGAAGGGAAGGAGAGAGGAGGCGAAAAAGUUCGGACUUCUCUGCACGACCCNCGAUGACUGUAAACAUAAAAUAGGGUGUUGUUAACACGAUUAUCAGAGAUACAGGUCACAACAACUUUACAAGUUCUUAAUUGGAAUCAUGAAACCAUUACUGAAGAGCAGGACAUCAAAGGGGCAUCUCACUGUCCUGCCGUCCCGAGCAGGGAGGAUUCCCAGCCCCACCAAAGACACAGCCAACAACAGGCUACAAACAGCAGAUGGACUUGCCGCGAUAAAGCUUACACAAGACAGUUUGAUUAUAAAAUCCAGAGGAGCAGACAAGAAGAGUAAACAAAGUAGGAGCUGGAGUCAAAGCCAAGGUGAGUCAGUCCGAAUGCAGUAUCCAGGAGCAUGAAGGUUGCUUG